Molecule: long non-coding RNA, 4692 nt
Organism: Nerophis ophidion (straightnose pipefish)
Lineage: Eukaryota; Metazoa; Chordata; Actinopteri; Syngnathiformes; Syngnathidae
Exons: 2
Source: RefSeq, a predicted model, not a curated record
GAUGAGCGGACAUUUUAAGUCCGGCACGCCGCCGCUUCCUUUUUCUUUUAUCCAAAAUAUAUGAUACUACCUUUGCCAAGACCAAUACUUUUUAUUAUAAGCUGACGAAGAAAUGCAGCACGAUGACCUGAAAAGAUUACUCGUUCAACACAGUUCAACAGGUUGUAAGCAAGUUGCGUAAUAAGUUUUUUAUUACUACUAUACUAGCAGGCUAAGGCUGAUUGUUACUCGGUCACCAGUAAAAGUGUUCCUCACCGUCAUUUGGCUUGAUGAUUCCUGGUGUUGAGCCUUGUACGUUCUAAGAGAAGCAGUCAGCUUCUAUCUUCGUGUCCUCUGACAAGUCUGGCAGUUUGCCUUUACCUGCCCAAACUGGUCUAUCCAGUUUAGGAAUGAUCGUUGGCUUCUAUUGUUUCCUCGUCUUUCUUUCAGCUCAAAUGAGGCUGGAAUUUGAUACGGGUUAUUUUUGCUUUCCGCCGAAACUACCCCUAGCGUUGUUUUCUGCGAUGACCUAACGUUCUGUACCCCACCCCCUUCCCCCCAGAUAUUACCGAUCACAUAAUACUAACAAAUGUCCAAAAAGUCUGAACAACAGCGUCGCCGAGCAACAAGUUGUGACCGCAGCUCACCGUCUUGACAGAACACAAAGAAGGUAUCACGUUGGCGAAUUUACCCAGCCUUUCCCAGGUGUGGUCACCGAGCUGGAAACCCAAUACAAGAGGCAUCAUUGUGUUGGGGCUUUAGUCCUCGUCUUUCCUGCUCGUGCUGAAGGACACUGGCGAGGCGCUUCGGAGGGAGGAAGAUGCCAAUCCCUUUCCGGUAGACUUGAGAAGAAGAGGCAGACCCCGGAAGGAAAAAGCCUAUCAGGUGUAAUUUUCAGUUGCAGCCAAUCUCUUUGGCCCCUGGCGCUUACAGGUGUGUCCCUUGCAAUGUCUUCAGCCAAUCGCGGCUCAGACGAGACCCCUCCUCCCCCACUGGUCCCCUCCAACCGGUUUUCUAAGCUACCACCCCUCAGCACCCACCCCGUCCUCUGCCCUGUCAGUCCCUAGGUACCUUGUUGUGUUUUUUUUUAUGAUGUCAGCUCAAGCUUCUGUGGGAAGGACUUUCUCUGUUUUAAAACAUCUCAACUGACAUCCUAAGAACCGCAUUCUCUAUGAGGUUUUAUCACACACAUAAAGUUGAGCUGUAUAAGUCCGCCGCAACCUGAAAUACCUGCCCUUUGCACUCAUGCUAUGCCUCCCUUUGUGUCCACAUAAAUACAAUAUCCCCGCUAGAAACAACCGAUGAAUAAAGUGCCGGUGAGUAAAACUUCACAAAGAGACAUCCAGAGGUGAGGGAGCGCCAACAAAAGGUGGGGUAGGGGCUCUUGGGGCCCCCAGGGGAAAACAGAGGCCUAAUUCAAAACCUGACCAGGGCUUGGUUAGAUGCUGGGCAGCCACUUUCGGUCUUGGGGUGUAAUUGUCAGGACUAUUCUCUCAACAAUGAGGACAAUACCAGAACCAUAUCCUGUUUCAGCAAGGGGUGUGGUCCAGGUUGAAGCAGAACUAUGAAGGUGGAAGCAGGUGAUGGCGUAUGCCGUUAAACAAACAGCUCUAGCACGCACUGACGCAAAUCUACAGGAGAUAUUCAUUAAUCAUUUGGAAAACGCGUGGACUGAUUCAUGCUGGCCAGUAACUUUUUGUGAGCUAUGUUGCUCCUCAAACAAAUGUGACAAUGAAGAGGCCUUUGUGUUUGGUUUAACAGUGUCAACAAAAGGCUCAUUUCAUGAACGCCAAAUCAACUCCAGGAAAUGUAGUUUAGCAACGUUUCCACAGAAUUAUAAGUAACUAAUUAGCCUUUUUUUCCUUCCAAGUUACUCUCUUUAAAAGAGUGGUUUAGUAAAUUACUUUGCUCUAAAAGGUUUGCUUUGUUAGGUUUUUCAUUUGCAUUGCAAAUAGGGUCUCUGGGUGGGGGUGACACACGGGAGACUGGCCUCAACUGAUUUGGAUACUGAUGGCUAUCUGGGCAGCCAGUCACGCAAGGCAGGAUGCAAGGACUGUCAGUCAGGCGGCAGGUCAGAAGAAACAAACUCUAAUGCAACCCAAUUAGAAAGAUGUUGUCCCUCUGCUUAAAUUAUUUUGUGUGAGGUCUUUACAAAGUCCUUUGUGACCUUUUUUCAAGACAUGCAGAUUUCAAAUGGACUUUUAUCAUUUGAUAGGUUCCAUUUCUGCAGGUCUGUAAACCUGGUGAAGCAAAUAACUUCCUGAUAAUGAAAAAAUCCACCUACCUCAUACAUUAAUUUUUAGAUACUCAUUUGUGAGCGCAAAACAAUUCGUAUAAUCAGUAAUGAUAGUGCAUUGGACUCACUGACCAAAUCGGAUUAUCAAUAUUUUCUUGCCAUUUCAGUCCAACUAUUCUCUAUUACUAUUAUUCUAAAAGGCCUAUUUCACGCAGGACACUGCCUUUGAUCCAAAAACUGGACAAAAAGAUCCUAAAACUUGAUUAUGAGGUAACACAUGUACAUGUAUGCUUCUAAGUUUGUUACAGCGGUACUGUACCUUGGUGUUUAUAUGCCCUACUUCAGUGGUUCUCAACCUUUUUUCAGUGAUGUUCCCCCUGUGGACAUGUUUUUAAUUCAAGUACCCCCUAAUCAGAGCAAAGCAUUUUUGGUUGAAAAAAAGAGAUAAAAAACUAAAAUACAGCACUAUGUCAUCAGUUUCUGAUUUAUUAAAUUGUAUAACAGUGCAAAAUAUUGCUCAUUUGUAGUGGUCUUUCUUGAACUAUUUGGAAAAAAAAGAUAUAAAAAUAACUAAAAACUUGUUGUAAAAUAAACAAGUGAUUCAAUCAUAAAUAAAUAUUUCUGCACAUAGAAGUAAUCAACUUAAAGUGCCCUCUUAGGGGAUUGUAAUAGAGAUCCAUCUGGAUUCAUGAACUUAAUUCUAAACAUUUCUUCACAAAAAAAUAAAUCUUUAACAUUAAAUCCAGCUGUCAACACUGAAUAUAGCAUUGUUGCAUUUAUUUUCACAGUUUAUGAACUCACAUUCAUAUUUUGUUGAAGUAUUAUUCAAUAAAUAUAUUAAGGAUAUUUAAUUGUUGCUAUUUUUAGAAUAUUUUUGAAAAAUCUCACGUACCCCUUGGCAUACCUUUAAGUACCCCCAGGGGUACGCGUACCCCCAUUUGAGAACCACUACUUAUUUGUGGGAUUCAGUUUGACAAAAAAAAAAAGUUGGUCAAAAGUCUGUCCUGGUUUUGUACGUUGUCCUAGUUCCGGAUCUUACUGCUUAACAAAACGAUGUGGCUCAGAUGGUAUUGUUUUAAUUGGUUUUACCCUUUAAAAUAGUUUUUAAUCAUAUUUAUUUCUAUAUUAUUUUCAUAUUGGUUUUAUUUUUUAUUCAGUCAUUGCUGGAGCUAAGGGUAUUUGAAUAUUGUUUUUAAUAUUGUUGUGCAGCACUUGGGAAACAUUUAUGUUGUUUAAAUUUGCUAUACAAAUAAAGUGGAUUGGAUUGGUAGAGCAGAUGUGCCAGCAACCUUAGGGUUCCAGAUUGGAUUCCAGCUUCCGCCAUCCUCGUCACGGGCGUCGUGUCCUUGGGCAAAACUCUUUACCAACUUUUCUCUCAGUGACGCUUACACUGGUGUAUGAAUGUUAAUUAAUGAAUGUUUGGCAGCCAUGCUUCCGUCAGUCUACCCCAGGGCAGCUGUGGCUACAAAUGUAUCUGACGAACAUCUAUUGGCGGACGUGGAGUGAAUGAACGAUGAGUUCUCAUUUCUCUCUGUUAAGCGCUUUGAGUGUCUAGAAACCCAUCAUAUAAAUCGAAUAAUCAAUGUAUAAAUAAUCCCUUGCGUUGGUGUCUGUUUUUUUUUAAUUAUUAUUAAGUAUGACUGCAAAAUGACCUGCUUAGUGACCUAGUGGUUAUAGAGUGUCCGUCCUGAGAUCGGUAGGUUGUGAGUUCAAACCAAAGUCAUACCAAAGACUAUAAAAAUGGGACUCAUUACUUCCCUGCUUGGCACUCAGCAUCAAAAGUUGGAAUUUGGGGGUUUCGAUCACCAAAAAUGAUUCCCGGGCACGGCCCUCGCUGCUGCCCACCGCUCCCCUCACCUCCCAGGGGGUGAUCAAGGGUGAUGGGUCGAAUGCAGAGAAUAAUUUCGCCACACCUAGUGUGUGUGUGUGUGUGUGUGUGUGUGUGUGUGUGUGUGUUUGUGUGUGUUUGUGUGUGUGUGUGUGUGACAAUCAUUGGUACUUUAACUUUGACUUUAAAAUAAACCACCAUGGGAGGGCUCAAGAAAUGCCACUACUACAAGAGAAACCUUGCAGCAAACUAUGAAGGUGGGCUCCAUGUGCCUUUUUCCUCCUCUUUACGCUCUCUACUCAGCACUGUCAUUAUAAAAAAUAUAAUUAAAUAUUCACUGUCUACAGGUACUUUAAAGGUGAUUCUAAAUGCUGUUAAUCAUUUUAGUUGUCAUUUAUAUGUAUUUUAUAUCUUUUUCUGCGUGUUAAAGCUAUAGUUAUCAGUACUUUGCGGUUUAUUUGUCUAUUUUCAGAGCUAUGUAUUCCGAAUGUGGCACAAUAAAGAUGGAAUUUAAUUUUGGUGUGCAUGCAAUCACAAUAAAAGCUAUUCCACUGAAUUAUAUUCUGUUUUACUCUAACUCAGAUCAAUGUAUUUUUGUUUGCAUCAGGUGUGUGUAAAACAACUCCAUUAAACUGACUCUGAACAACAA